AUUGAACGCUGGCGGCAUGCUUUACACAUGCAAGUCGAACGGCAGCGCGGGCUUCGGCCUGGCGGCGAGUGGCGAACGGGUGAGUAAUGCAUCGGAACGUGCCCAGUAGUGGGGAUAGCCCGGCGAAAGCCGGAUUAAUACCGCAUACGACCUGAGGGUGAAAGCGGGGGACCGAAAGGCCUCGCGCUAUUGGAGCGGCCGAUGUCGGAUUAGCUAGUUGGUGGGGUAAAGGCUUACCAAGGCGACGAUCCGUAGCUGGUCUGAGAGGACGACCAGCCACACUGGGACUGAGACACGGCCCAGACUCCUACGGGAGGCAGCAGUGGGGAAUUUUGGACAAAGGGGGCAACCCUGAUCCAGCCAUGCCGCGUGCGAGAAGAAGGCCUUCGGGUUGUAAACCGCUUUUGUUCGGGAAGAAAUCCUCUGGGCUAAUACCCCGGGGGGAUGACGGUACCGGAAGAAUAAGCACCGGCUAACUACGUG
This 483-nucleotide ribosomal RNA is filed under the name uncultured bacterium. Its description in RNAcentral is "partial 16S ribosomal RNA". It matches the Rfam family "Bacterial small subunit ribosomal RNA", at positions 29 to 507 of the family's 1533-position model. The record is from RNAcentral.